UCUAUUUUGACAAGAACUUUAUCCAAUUUCGUAUUUCAAACAAAGCUCGACUGCUUAAGCCCAUAUACUGCUCCAUUCAGCUUUAAAACAUGACCAUCAUCACUUUUAAUUGGAAUGCCAUCAGGUCAUAUUUCGCUGCUAAAGCCAUAAGAAAACGUAUUGAAGUGUACCUUACUGCAGGCGAACAUGUUUCGUCGUAGUCAAUUCCUUUUUUCUGUUUGUAGCCCUUUGCUACUAAACUGGCUUUAUAUCAAACUAGCUGACCCGGGCCCGCUCCGCUGCGCCUUCUUUUACUUUAUAUGGAGCAAAAGUUUCUUUGGGAUAUUUAUUUUCGACAAUUAAAGAGCUUUUAGUGAAAUACCAUGCUACGAAAAUACAAUAGUA
Molecule: long non-coding RNA, 384 nt
Organism: Stomoxys calcitrans (stable fly)
Lineage: Eukaryota; Metazoa; Arthropoda; Insecta; Diptera; Muscidae
Exons: 2
Source: RefSeq, a predicted model, not a curated record